RNAcentral lists this ribosomal RNA (255 nucleotides) under uncultured bacterium. Its description in RNAcentral is "partial small subunit ribosomal RNA". It matches the Rfam family "Bacterial small subunit ribosomal RNA", at positions 26 to 285 of the family's 1533-position model. The record is from RNAcentral.
AGGACGAACGCUGGCGGCGUGCUUAACACAUGCAAGUCGAGCGGAAAGGCCCUUCGGGGUACUCGAGCGGCGAACGGGUGAGUAACACGUGAGCAACCUGCCCUUAGCUUCGGGAUAGCUCCGGGAAACCGGAAUUAAUACCGAAUAUGACUUUGGCUGACAUCAGCAGAAGUGGAAAGUUUUUCGGCUAGGGAUGGACUCGCGGCCUAUCAGCUAGUUGGUGAGGUAACCGGCCCACCAAGGCGACGACGGGUA